This 74-nucleotide transfer RNA is filed under the name Flavobacteriaceae bacterium UJ101. RNAcentral's name for it is "tRNA-Cys". It matches the Rfam family "tRNA". From Rfam's summary of the family: Transfer RNA (tRNA) molecules are approximately 80 nucleotides in length. Their secondary structure includes four short double-helical elements and three loops (D, anti-codon, and T loops). Lineage: Bacteria; Pseudomonadati; Bacteroidota; Flavobacteriia; Flavobacteriales; Flavobacteriaceae. The record is from RNAcentral.
GGUGCCGUGGCCGAGCGGCUAGGCAGCGGUCUGCAACACCGUGUACGGCGGUUCGAAUCCGCCCGGCACCUCAA